UGGCGGCCUUAGCGCGGUGGUCCCACCUGACCCCAUGCCGAACUCAGAAGUGAAACGCCGUAGCGCCGAUGGUAGUGUGGGGUCUCCCCAUGCGAGAGUAGGGAA
RNAcentral lists this ribosomal RNA (105 nucleotides) under Escherichia coli. The record is from RNAcentral. Lineage: Bacteria; Pseudomonadati; Pseudomonadota; Gammaproteobacteria; Enterobacterales; Enterobacteriaceae.